GACGAACGCUGGCGGCGUGCCUAAUACAUGCAAGUCGAGCGAAUGACGAGAAGCUUGCUUCUCUGAUUUAGCGGCGGACGGGUGAGUAACACGUGGGCAACCUGCCCUACAGAUCGGGAUAACUCAGGGAAACCUGGGCUAAUACCGGAUAAUCCUUCGAAUCACAUGUUUUGAAGUUGAAAGGCGCUUCGGCGUCACUGUAGGAUGGGCCCGCGGUGCAUUAGCUAGUUGGUGGGGUAACGGCCUACCAAGGCAACGAUGCAUAGCCGACCUGAGAGGGUGAUCGGCCACAUUGGGACUGAGACACGGCCCAAACUCCGACGGGAGGCAGCAGUAGGGAAUCUUCCACAAUGGACGAAAGUCUGAUGGAGCAACGCCGCGUGAGUGAUGAAGGUUUUCGGAUCGUAAAACUCUGUUGUAAGGGAAGAACAAGUACGUUAGGAAAUGAACGUACCUUGACGGUACCUUAUUAGAAAGCCACGGCUAACUACGUGCCAGCAGCCGCCGUAA
This 510-nucleotide ribosomal RNA is filed under the name uncultured bacterium. RNAcentral describes it as "partial 16S ribosomal RNA". It matches the Rfam family "Bacterial small subunit ribosomal RNA", at positions 28 to 523 of the family's 1533-position model. The record is from RNAcentral.